Molecule: ribosomal RNA, 804 nt
Rfam family: 5.8S ribosomal RNA (bases 268-422)
GCGGAGGNCAUUAUCAAAGUUUCGAGCAUGGGAGGAAGAUUGUUUAUUGGGGGUACUGUCGCUGGCUUUCUUUCCGGAGAGCAUCUGCACGUCUUUCUUUGCUUUCUGUCAACCUCUCUUGCUCACUCAUACACACACCUGUGCACCUACUGUAGGUUCUCGAAAGAGAAUCUAUGUUUUUUACAUCACACCUAUCGUAUGUCUAGAAUGUAUUUGAUUACUUGUCAAUUAGGCUUGUCCUGGUUGCCAAGGUCAAUAAACUAUUACAACUUUCAGCAACGGAUCUCUUGGCUCUCGCAUCGAUGAAGAACGCAGCGAAUUGCGAUAAGUAAUGUGAAUUGCAGAUUUCCAGUGAAUCAUCGAAUCUUUGAACGCACCUUGCGCUCCUUGGUAUUCCGAGGAGCAUGCCUGUUUGAGUGUCAUUGAAUUCUCAACCAUGUCUUGUUGAUCUCAACUUGCACAUGGCUUGGACUUGGGGGUUGCUGGCAGCCACAAGGCCAUCAGCUCUCCUGAAAUGCAUUAGCAAAGGAUGUGCUAGUCUUUGGACGUGCACGGCCUUCGACGUGAUAAUGAUCGUCGUGGCUGGAGCGUCUCUUCCGGACCAUGCAUACAUCAUCCCCUUUGCUUCUAAUCCAGUUCAGAUCUGCUUGCCUCGCCUUAGAUAAUGUCAAGCGCUUAGCUACUAGUCGGUCGUAAAAGGCUGGCGAACGCGGCAAACAUUUUGUAGGGCUUUCAAGCAUUUCACUCUUUCAAUCUUGACCUCAAAUCAGGUAGGACUACCCGCUGAACUUAAGCAUAUCAUAA